GACGAACGCUGGCGGCGUGCUUAACACAUGCAAGUCGAACGGAAAGGCCCUGCUUUUGUGGGGUGCUCGAGUGGCGAACGGGUGAGUAACACGUGAGUAACCUGCCCUUGACUUUGGGAUAACUUCAGGAAACUGGGGCUAAUACCGGAUAGGAGCUCCUGCUGCAUGGUGGGGGUUGGAAAGUUUCGGCGGUUGGGGAUGGACUCGCGGCUUAUCAGCUUGUUGGUGGGGUAGUGGCUUACCAAGGCUUUGACGGGUAGCCGGCCUGGGAGGGUGACCGGCCACAUUGGGACUGAGAUACGGCCCAGACUCCUACGGGAGGCAGCAGUGGUGAAUAUUGCACAAUGGGCGGAAGCCUGAUGCAGCAACGCCGCGUGCGGGAUGACGGCCUUCGGGUUAUAAACCGCUUUCGCCUGUGACGAAGCGUGAGUGACGGUAAUGGGUAAAGAAGCACCGGCUAACUACGUG
Molecule: ribosomal RNA, 468 nt
Filed under: uncultured bacterium
Lineage: Bacteria
Description: partial 16S ribosomal RNA
Rfam family: Bacterial small subunit ribosomal RNA
Source: RNAcentral